UGGUGGAGCGAUUUGUCUGGUCAAUUCCGAUAACGAACGAGACUCUAGCCUACUAAAUAGUUCGGGGACCCCCACAAAGGGGCCCCGCUUCAACUUCUUAGAGGAACAGGUGGCGUUUAGCCACACGAGAUUGAGCAAUAACA
RNAcentral lists this ribosomal RNA (143 nucleotides) under uncultured eukaryote. RNAcentral describes it as "partial 18S ribosomal RNA". It matches the Rfam family "Eukaryotic small subunit ribosomal RNA", at positions 1299 to 1458 of the family's 1831-position model. The record is from RNAcentral.